RNAcentral lists this ribosomal RNA (505 nucleotides) under uncultured eukaryote. RNAcentral describes it as "SSU rRNA". It matches the Rfam family "Eukaryotic small subunit ribosomal RNA", at positions 48 to 555 of the family's 1831-position model. The record is from RNAcentral.
GCCAUGCAUGUCUCAGUAUAAGCUUCUAUACGGCGAAACUGCGAAUGGCUCAUUAAAACAGUUAUAGUUUAUUUGGUGGUCAGCAAUUACAUGGAUAACCGUGGUAAUUCUAGAGCUAAUACAUGCGUCCAAACCCGACUUCGUGGAAGGGUUGUGUUUAUUAGAUACAGAACCAACCCAGGCUCCGCCUGGCCUUGAGGUGAUUCAUAAUAACCGAACGAAUCGCAUGGCUAUGCCGGCGAUAGACCAUUCAAGUUUCUGACCUAUCAGCUAUCGUCGGUAGGGUAUUGGCCUACCGUGGCAAUGACGGGUAACGGAGAAUUAGGGUUCGAUUCCGGAGAGGGAGCCUGAGAAACGGCUACCACAUCUAAGGAAGGCAGCAGGCGCGCAAAUUACCCAAUCCUGACGCAGGGAGGUAGUGACAAGAAAUAACAAUACAGGGCAUACAUGUCUUGUAAUUGGAAUGAGUAAACUUUAAAUCACUUUACGAGUAUCAAUUGGAGGG